GGGGCUGUAGCUCAGUUGGUAGAGCGCCAGCUUUGCAAGCUGGAUGUCGUCGGUUCGACCCCGAUCAGCUCCA
Molecule: transfer RNA, 73 nt
Organism: Anaeromyxobacter dehalogenans 2CP-C
Lineage: Bacteria; Pseudomonadati; Myxococcota; Myxococcia; Myxococcales; Anaeromyxobacteraceae
Rfam family: tRNA
About the family: Transfer RNA (tRNA) molecules are approximately 80 nucleotides in length. Their secondary structure includes four short double-helical elements and three loops (D, anti-codon, and T loops).
Source: Rfam